Molecule: small nucleolar RNA, 91 nt
Filed under: Kryptolebias marmoratus (mangrove rivulus)
Lineage: Eukaryota; Metazoa; Chordata; Actinopteri; Cyprinodontiformes; Rivulidae
Description: Small nucleolar RNA SNORD70 (ENSKMAG00000000847.1)
Source: RNAcentral
CAGUCUGUGGUCUGGGAUGCAUUUGUGUGUCUGAUUUUAAAAACAUGAAGCAUUUCAUAGCAAUCGUCACUACCACUGAGACCACACUCUU